UUGUGAGUAGGAAAAAGGCUAGCAAUAUGGGAAAACGAAAGAUUCCACCAAAUGUUACAUACGGUGUCAACUGUCAUUGGUGUUACAAAUAAGAGGAUCCUAAGUGGGUCAAGGUCCACCUUAUCAGGUUCCUUAAAACCUGACCUGGUUUGAAGCCCUCUCCGUGCUUCAAGGGGUUGGAAGUUAUCUGCCUUCCAACGCAUAGCACCCUACCACGCAUCAGCGUCCGGUCCUGCGCAUUGGCGAGUUGCUUUGCACCACUUGCACCUGCACCAGUAUGGGCUCACAGUACUGGCUUUGUGCAUGAUGCGUCACCAUCAGAUUCCUUAAUAAUAAAAACAGGAAAACUGCAGCCGUUUUCCUUCACGCCCGUGUUUCGCGUGACGCGCGUCGCCAUACGAAAUGAAAAUCGUACGGCGUGGUACCAAGUAAUAGCUGAAAAACUACUCCCACCUCCCUCGCGACUGUCCGCUACAGCCUCUCGCCAUACCGUCGUCGGCGCUCGAGGGAUCGAGCCCUCCAUCGCACGUCGCAUGCACAUCCCAGGUGUCGGUGGCGACGGUGAGGAGGAGCAAGAUGAUGAGGAUUGAAGAGUACCUGCUGGGGGCGGUGGCCUAGAUCUGCAGCUGACGGGAGACGGCCGCAUGAACAACAGUAGCGUCGGCUGCUGUGACGGCGUCGACGAAGAGCAAUAGAACAUCAGAAUGAUAAAAAACAAGGAGUCCGCGUUCUGCUGCUCUGGGGCAAGGAAGAGGGUACUACGAGCACUGCUUAUACCUGACUACGGGAGAUGACUAAGCCUAGGGCAUACUUUUCCGAUUCUCGUCUCAUGCUUUUGGUGAGUGGACAUCCUAAUGUUGGCACAGUGUCAUCAAACCCCGCAGGUGUUGUGGGUACUAGAUAAAUAAAUGCUUCCACAAAAAAUUAUCACUUCGGUGAAUGCUACUUGGAGUUAUUUGGGGCAUGUGUGCCUCCCUUGUUGUAAUAACUCUAUAUACUCUGAUUUAUGUUAAAAACUCUGUGGAAUGUUGUAACACUUGAUGCAGCGAUUGUUAGUUCAUUACGAUCUUGGUUGCGAGGGA
This is a long non-coding RNA of Zea mays, 1082 nucleotides long. RefSeq lists it as uncharacterized. The record is from RefSeq and is a predicted model, not a curated record. The transcript has 3 exons. NCBI's taxonomy places the organism in Eukaryota, Viridiplantae, Streptophyta, Magnoliopsida, Poales, Poaceae.